AAGGACGGAACUAAACAGAUUAGCUCUCCCGUCUUCGCUGGUGCGCGCUUAACCAGGCCUCGGACAGCCUGCCUCGAUUUCAUAGCUGUCCCUCUGUGUUUGAGUCAGGCAGGAGGACUCCUACUGAGAGGGCUGUGGACGCUGUGGGGGGGAGCAUUGAGAGCCGUUUCUGAAGUGUGUCUGUGUAAGGGGGCUCUCCUCCUCUCAUCUCCCCUCCAUUCUCAGCAUCUGUCCAGGCCCUCGUCGGACUGCAACACCCUGCACCCCUCUCUAGGAGCACAGGACUCGCUGCCUGGCACGGUGCACCUCCCUUCAAGAGCUCGAUGUAGUGAGCCACGAUCAGAGCAGAGUGCAGAACAGCGUAGUGAAAUCGUCUCAAAGGCGUUGACAAAAGAAGGAAGGGUGGAGCAAAAGCCCUGAGAGAGACUGCGUGACACUGUGGACUGACCACUGGCAAACAAAGGAUGGUACACGAGACUCUGCAGCUUCUGAUGUGAUGUUGGAUUGACUUGUAUCUCACAUUCGAGCAAAUUAGCUCUUUGUGUAGUACGAAGCACAGUACGGGAGUUGCAUGUGUGCAUAUUCACUUUCCCCAGGGGGCUAGCAGAAGGGUCUACCAGAGAGCCAUACCAGCCCCCUCCUGCAGUUCUCGGCACCCCCCCCCAGCCCAGCGCUGGCAUGUUGGUUUAGCUGCUGCAUUCACGUGAGAUGCUUCUGGGCUGGUUGGGCUCAUUGUCGACAAUAACGACAGCUGCGGCGAAGCUGGCAUGACUGACACACCUGGUCUUGCCAUGGACACGGAGCAGCGAAUCCUUCCCGGGCUCCGUCCACGGAGCUCGGCUGCUGGGGCUGAUGCGAGGCUCCAGCUGCUGGACCGAUGUGGCGAGGUAGUGCAGUUGUGACAGAGUGGGCCCCAGGAGAUGCAGUUGAGGUUGAAUAAGGAGGAUGGAGGUUCGGGGGGGUUAAGUACCUCUUUUUAUAGCCAGAUGUACUGCUUGUAACGGAACAAGAGCAGGAGGAAAUCGCUGUGUUUAUUCUCUACAAGGGCUCCUGGGUUUCUGCUUCAGCUUGGAUUCCUUUGUGCUCCUUGUGAUAGAAAAACUGCAAACUGGUAACAUGAGCAUGGGCAGUUGUGUGAUCUCUGCUUUGUGGGACAUCUAAUA
This 1163-nucleotide long non-coding RNA is filed under the name Lepisosteus oculatus (spotted gar). Its description in RNAcentral is "lncRNA (ENSLOCG00000022714.1)". The record is from RNAcentral. Lineage: Eukaryota; Metazoa; Chordata; Actinopteri; Semionotiformes; Lepisosteidae.